This 554-nucleotide ribosomal RNA is filed under the name uncultured bacterium. RNAcentral's name for it is "partial 16S ribosomal RNA". It matches the Rfam family "Bacterial small subunit ribosomal RNA", at positions 355 to 898 of the family's 1533-position model. The record is from RNAcentral.
UGGGGAAUAUUGCACAAUGGGCGCAAGCCUGAUGCAGCCAUGCCGCGUGUGUGAAGAAGGCCUUCGGGUUGUAAAGCACUUUCAGCGAGGAGGAAGGCGUUAAGGUUAAUAACCUUGGCGAUUGACGUUACUCGCAGAAGAAGCACCGGCUAACUCCGUGCCAGCAGCCGCGGUAAUACGGAGGGUGCAAGCGUUAAUCGGAAUUACUGGGCGUAAAGCGCACGCAGGCGGUUUGUUAAGUCAGAUGUGAAAUCCCCGAGCUUAACUUGGGAACUGCAUUUGAAACUGGCAAGCUAGAGUCUUGUAGAGGGGGGUAGAAUUCCAGGUGUAGCGGUGAAAUGCGUAGAGAUCUGGAGGAAUACCGGUGGCGAAGGCGGCCCCCUGGACAAAGACUGACGCUCAGGUGCGAAAGCGUGGGGCAGCAAACAGGAUUAGAUACCCUGGUAGUCCACGCUGUAAAACGAUGUCGACUUUGGAGGUUGUGGGCUUGACCCGUGGCUUCCGGAGCUAACGCGUUAAAUCGACCGCCUGGGGAGUACGGCCGCAAGGUUAAA